Molecule: ribosomal RNA, 453 nt
Filed under: uncultured bacterium
Lineage: Bacteria
Description: bacterial SSU rRNA
Rfam family: Bacterial small subunit ribosomal RNA
Source: RNAcentral
CACAUGCAAGUCGAACGGAAUACUAAUUAAGAGAAUCUCACACUAGUGAGAGGUUCUCAGAGUAGUAUUUAGUGGCGGACGGUGAGUAACACGUUGGAACCUGCCCCGAAGUGGGAUAACUGCUCGAAAGAGUAGCUAAUACCCCAUAGUAUCCGGUUUAUCCGGAUUUAAAGAUUUUAUCGCUUCGGGAGGGGCCUGCGUCUGAUUAGCUAGUUGGUGAGGUAAAAGCUCACCAAGGCGACGAUCAGUAGCUGGUUCGAGAGGAUGACCAGCCACACUGGGACUGAGAUACGGCCCAGACUCCUACGGGAGGCAGCAGUGAGGAAUCUUCCACAAUGGCGCAAGCCUGAUGGAGCAAUACCGCGUGCAGGAAGACGCUUUUCGGAGUGUAAACUGCUUUUGUCGUCGAAGAUUAUGACUGUAGACGAAGAAUAAGGACCGGCUAACUACGUG